Molecule: ribosomal RNA, 406 nt
Filed under: uncultured bacterium
Lineage: Bacteria
Description: partial 16S ribosomal RNA
Rfam family: Bacterial small subunit ribosomal RNA
Source: RNAcentral
GACGAACGCUGGCGGCGUGCUUAACACAUGCAAGUCGAGCGAGCGGCGGACGGGUGAGUAAUGUCUGGGAAACUGCCUGAUGGAGGGGGAUAAGUACUGGAAACGGUAGCUAAUACCGCAUACCAUCAGAUGUGCCCAGAUGGGAUUAGCUGGUAGGUGGGGUAACUGCUCACCUAGGCGACGAUCCCUAGCUGGUCUGAGCGGAUGACCAGCCACCGUGGAACUGAGACACGGUCCAGACUCCUACGGGAGGCAGAAGUGGGGAAUAUUGCACAAUGGGCGCAAGCCUGAUGCAGCCAUGCCGCGUGUGGGAAGAAGGCCUUCGGGUUGUAAAGCACUUUCAGCGGGGAGGCGUUACCCGCAGAAGAAGCACCGGCUAACUCCGUGCCAGCCGCCGCGGUAAUAC